This 254-nucleotide ribosomal RNA is filed under the name uncultured bacterium. RNAcentral's name for it is "partial 16S ribosomal RNA". It matches the Rfam family "Bacterial small subunit ribosomal RNA", at positions 524 to 776 of the family's 1533-position model. The record is from RNAcentral.
UACGUAGGGUGCAAGCGUUGUCCGGAAUUAUUGGGCGUAAAGAGCUCGUAGGCGGUUCGUCACGUCGGCUGUGAAAACCUGAGGCUCAACCUCAGGCCUGCAGUCGAUACGGGCGGACUUGAGUACUGCAGGGGAGACUGGAAUUCCUGGUGUAGCGGUGAAAUGCGCAGAUAUCAGGAGGAACACCGGUGGCGAAGGCGGGUCUCUGGGCAGUAACUGACGCUGGAGGAGCGAAAGCGUGGGGAGCGAACAGG